RNAcentral lists this ribosomal RNA (741 nucleotides) under Triticum aestivum (bread wheat). Its description in RNAcentral is "partial small subunit ribosomal RNA". Lineage: Eukaryota; Viridiplantae; Streptophyta; Magnoliopsida; Poales; Poaceae. The record is from RNAcentral.
AAGGUUGUGAGCGGAUGGACUGGAAUUCCUAUAGCUACGCUUAAUCAAGAGGAGUCUAAGUUAAUUCACUUAGCCGACAGAUUGCAUGAGAGAAUAGUUGGGCAGGAUGAGGCCGUCAAUUUAGUUGCAGAAGCAGUGUUACGUUCCAGGAUUGGCCUUCACCAAGCUGGCCAGCUAAUAGGCUCCUUCCUCUUUUUGAGCACGACGGGUGUUGGAAAAACUGAACUUGCGAAAGCUCUUGCAGAACAACUAUUUGGUAGUGAGAAGAUGAUGCUUCGCUUUGAUAUGUCUGAGUAUGUUAGUCCCGAAUCCGUGCAACGUCUCAUUGGAGCACCCCCAAGCUAUCUUGGUUAUGAAAAUGGUGGGCAACUGACCGAGAAAGUGAGGAGGCGCCCAUACAGUGUUAUCCUUUUUGAUGAGGUGGAGAAGGCAUAUCCGUCGGUGUUGAAUGUUUUUCUUCAGCUCCUUGACGAUGGUGUGUUGACUGAUGGUAAAGGACAUAAUGUGGAUUUCAAGAAUACAAUUAUCUUUAUGACUUCAAAUGUUGGGGCAGAGCACCUAAAUGUAGGAGUGGUUGGAGAAAAGACAACGGCUGCUUCACGAAAUCUUCUCAUGAAACAGGUUCAAAAAAGCUUCAAGCCCGAAUUUCUCAACAGAUUAAGCGAGAUUGUAGUAUUUGAGCCGCUUUCACACCGUUAACUGAAAGGGAUCGUGAAUAUCCAAAUGAAGACUGCCACGUAA